RNAcentral lists this ribosomal RNA (253 nucleotides) under uncultured bacterium. RNAcentral describes it as "partial 16S ribosomal RNA". It matches the Rfam family "Bacterial small subunit ribosomal RNA", at positions 524 to 776 of the family's 1533-position model. The record is from RNAcentral.
UACGAAGGGGGCUAGCGUUGUUCGGAUUUACUGGGCGUAAAGCGCGCGUAGGCGGGUCACUAAGUCAGGGGUGAAAUCCCGAGGCUUAACCUCGGAACUGCCUUUGAUACUGGAGAGCUUGAGUCCGGAAGAGGUGAGUGGAACUCCGAGUGUAGAGGUGAAAUUCGUAGAUAUUCGGAAGAACACCAGUGGCGAAGGCGGCUCACUGGUCCGGUACUGACGCUGAGGUGCGAAAGCGUGGGGAGCAAACAGG